CGACCGGACCUCGACCGGCUCGUCUAUGUUGCCAAUCGACUCGGCGUGGCGUCGGUCGUG
Loxodonta africana (African savanna elephant) is the source of this 60-nucleotide microRNA precursor. The record is from Ensembl. Lineage: Eukaryota; Metazoa; Chordata; Mammalia; Proboscidea; Elephantidae.